This 282-nucleotide ribosomal RNA is filed under the name uncultured Allobrachymonas sp. RNAcentral describes it as "uncultured Brachymonas sp. partial 16S ribosomal RNA". It matches the Rfam family "Bacterial small subunit ribosomal RNA", at positions 1094 to 1382 of the family's 1533-position model. The record is from RNAcentral. Lineage: Bacteria; Pseudomonadati; Pseudomonadota; Betaproteobacteria; Burkholderiales; Comamonadaceae.
GAGCGCAACCCUUGCCAUUAGUUGCUACGAAAGGGCACUCUAAUGGGACUGCCGGUGACAAACCGGAGGAAGGUGGGGAUGACGUCAAGUCCUCAUGGCCCUUAUAGGUGGGGCUACACACGUCAUACAAUGGCCGGUACAGAGGGUAGCCAACCCGCGAGGGGGAGCCAAUCCCACAAAGCCGGUCGUAGUCCGGAUCGCAGUCUGCAACUCGACUGCGUGAAGUCGGAAUCGCUAGUAAUCGCGGAUCAGCAUGUCGCGGUGAAUACGUUCCCGGGUCUU